CCAUAUGUUGAAGUCUACUCUGUCACUGUCUGUGAAUUACAGGGGGUUAGUUGAACGCCACUUGGCCCUUGCUCCAUGGGCGUCCAUUUGAGCAACAGAAGAGGGGGAAUCUUUUCAAUUCAGGAGCAUCAGAGCAGUGACAAAGCAUUUCCAUGGCCAUUGCAGCAGCAAUUCUUUUUUCUGCAUAUACUCUGGAGACCUACUCCAUCAUCAACCCAGCUCAGGGUUUUUCAGGUUUAAUGUUGAAUAAAAACUCCGAGGACAGAUGGGUUGAUUGAUGUGUGUGCUUUGGUGCUCUAAUUCCCACCAUGGAAAUUGGAUUCUCUCACAUCUGGGGGCUGCCAAAAUAUCAAAACCUAACCUAACCUAACCUAAAUCCAGCUUUUUAUCUGUAAUUUUUUUUUUUUUUUUCUUUUCGAAUCUCACACGGACAUAUUCAAAUCUGAAUCAGUAAUCAGUAGAAACGAGUAUGAGGAAUAAUCCAUUUGGAAUAAAGCCAGUCGUAAAUGCUUCAGAAUGGAAAAAGAUUGGAAUAAAGCCAGUCGUAAAUGCUUCAGAAUGGAAAAAGAUUGGCAUUUAAGGCA
Non-coding RNA from Physcomitrium patens, 584 nucleotides. NCBI's taxonomy places the organism in Eukaryota, Viridiplantae, Streptophyta, Bryopsida, Funariales, Funariaceae. The record is from RefSeq and is a predicted model, not a curated record.